Molecule: ribosomal RNA, 318 nt
Filed under: uncultured cyanobacterium
Lineage: Bacteria; Bacillati; Cyanobacteriota
Description: bacterial SSU rRNA
Rfam family: Bacterial small subunit ribosomal RNA
Source: RNAcentral
UGGGCGAAAGCCUGACGGAGCAAUACCGCGUGAGGGACGAAGGCCUGUGGGUUGUAAACCUCUUUUGUUAGGGAAGAUAAUGACGGUACCUAACGAAUAAGCAUCGGCUAACUCCGUGCCAGCAGCCGCGGUAAGACGGAGGAUGCAAGCGUUAUCCGGAAUUAUUGGGCGUAAAGCGUACGUAGGCUGUUUUAUAAGUCUGUUGUCAAAGCCCGAGGCUCAACCUUGGAUCGGCAAUGGAAACUGUGAGACUAGAGAGAGAUAGGGGCAGGAGGAAUUCCAUGGUGUAGCGGUGAAAACUGCGUAGGAUAUCUGGAA